ACUACUUACGGGACGCAGCAGUGGGGAAUAUUGCACAAUGGGGGAAACCCUGAUGCAGCGACGCCGCGUGAGUGAAGAAGUAUUUCGGGUUGUAAACUUCUUUUAAGAGGGAAGAGCAGAAGACGGUACCUCUUGAAUAAGCCACGGCUAACUACGUGCCAGCAGCCGCGGUAAUACGUAGGUGGCAAGCGUUGUCCGGAUUUACUGGGUGUAAAGGGCGUGUAGCCGGGCUGACAAGUCAGAUGUGAAAUUCCGGGGCUCAACCCCGGACCUGCAUUUGAAACUGUUGGUCUUGAGUAUCGGAG
RNAcentral lists this ribosomal RNA (305 nucleotides) under uncultured bacterium. RNAcentral's name for it is "bacterial SSU rRNA". It matches the Rfam family "Bacterial small subunit ribosomal RNA", at positions 334 to 654 of the family's 1533-position model. The record is from RNAcentral.